This 434-nucleotide ribosomal RNA is filed under the name uncultured bacterium. RNAcentral's name for it is "bacterial SSU rRNA". It matches the Rfam family "Bacterial small subunit ribosomal RNA", at positions 954 to 1392 of the family's 1533-position model. The record is from RNAcentral.
GCAUAACGCGAAGAACCUUACCCACCUUUGACAUGGCAGGAAUCCUUCAGAGACGAAGGAGUGCUCGCAAGAGAGCCUGCACACAGGUGCUGCAUGGCUGUCGUCAGCUCGUGUCGUGAGAUGUUGGGUUAAGUCCCGCAACGAGCGCAACCCUUGCCAUCAGUUGCUACGAAAGGGCACUCUGAUGGGACUGCCGGUGACAAACCGGAGGAAGGUGGGGAUGACGUCAAGUUCUCAUGGCCCUUAUAGGUGGGGCUACACACGUCAUACAAUGGCCGGUACAAAGGGCAGCGAAGCCGCGAGGUGAAGCCAAUCCCAUAAAGCCGGUCGUAGUCCGGAUUGCACUCUGCAACUCGAGUGCAUGAAGUCGGAAUCGCUAGUAAUCGUGGAUCAGCAUGUCACGGUGAAUACGUUCCCGGGUCUUGUACACACCG